RNAcentral lists this unclassified non-coding RNA (375 nucleotides) under uncultured Acidimicrobiia bacterium. RNAcentral describes it as "contains 16S-23S intergenic spacer region". Lineage: Bacteria; Bacillati; Actinomycetota; Acidimicrobiia. The record is from RNAcentral.
UCCGAGUUGACCCCGGCAGUCUCCUACGAGUCCCCGCCAUUACGCGCUGGCAACAUAGGACAAGGGUUGCGCUCGUUGCGGGACUUAACCCAACAUCUCACGACACGAGCUGACGACAACCAUGCACCACCUGUGUACCGCCCCGAAGGACACCGUAUCUCUACGGCUUUUCCCUACAUGUCAAACCCAGGUAAGGUUCUUCGCGUCGCAUCGAAUUAAGCCACAUGCUCCGCCGCUUGUGCGGGCCCCCGUCAAUUCCUUUGAGUUUUAACCUUGCGGCCGUACUCCCCAGGCGGUGCGCUUAACGCGUUGGCUGCGACACCGGAGGGCUAGGCCCCCCGACGUCUAGCGCACAUCGUUUACGGCGUGGACUAC